Molecule: ribosomal RNA, 392 nt
Filed under: uncultured bacterium
Lineage: Bacteria
Description: partial 16S ribosomal RNA
Rfam family: Bacterial small subunit ribosomal RNA
Source: RNAcentral
AUACGGAGGAUCCGAGCGUUAUCCGGAUUUAUUGGGUUUAAAGGGUGCGCAGGCGGCCAUUUAAGUCCGCGGUUAAAUCGUGGGGCUCAACCCCAUUCUGCCGUUGAUACUGGGUGGCUUGAUUGCGGUCGAGGUUGGCGGAAUUCGUUGUGUAGCGGUGGAAUGCAUAGAUAUGACGAAGAACACCGAUUGCGUAGGCAGCUGACCAGACCGCAAAUGACGCUCAUGCACGAAAGUGCGGGGAUCGAACAGGAUUAGAUACCCUGGUAGUCCGCACAGUAAACGAUGAAUACUUGUUUUCGGCGAUAUAAUGUCGGAGGCAAAGCGAAAGCGAUAAGUAUUCCACCUGGGGAGUACGCCGGCAACGGUGAAACUUAAAGGAAUUGACGGUG